Non-coding RNA from Plectropomus leopardus (leopard coralgrouper), 206 nucleotides. Lineage: Eukaryota; Metazoa; Chordata; Actinopteri; Perciformes; Serranidae. The record is from RefSeq and is a predicted model, not a curated record.
GCGGUGAGCAGAGCUGCUGGUCGCGCGAGGAUUUCUCUGAACUAAAAGGGGGACAUUAUGAGCUCCGGGGACACCGUCUGGACGCCGCUCACUGUGGACGAGUCGACCGUCUCCUCAGGAGCCACAGAUGCAUCGACUCCCCUGAACCUGGAGACAGGCUGAACGUCUCACCGGUUUUUGGCCAUAAAUGUCAGAAAGUGUGUGUG